RNAcentral lists this ribosomal RNA (515 nucleotides) under uncultured bacterium. Its description in RNAcentral is "partial 16S ribosomal RNA". It matches the Rfam family "Bacterial small subunit ribosomal RNA", at positions 28 to 523 of the family's 1533-position model. The record is from RNAcentral.
GAUGAACGCUGGCGGCGUGCCUAAUACAUGCAAGUCGAGCGAAUGGAUUAAGAGCUUGCUCUUAUGAAGUUAGCGGCGGACGGGUGAGUAACACGUGGGUAACCUGCCCAUAAGACUGGGAUAACUCCGGGAAACCGGGGCUAAUACCGGAUAACAUUUUGAACCGCAUGGUUCGAAAUUGAAAGGCGGCUUCGGCUGUCACUUAUGGAUGGACCCGCGUCGCAUUAGCUAGUUGGUGAGGUAACGGCUCACCAAGGCAACGAUGCGUAGCCGACCUGAGAGGGUGUUCGGACACACUGGGACUGAGACACGGCCCAGACUCCUACGGGAGGCAGCAGUAGGGAAUCUUCCGCAAGGGACGAAAGUCUGACGGAGCAACGCCGCGUGAGUGAUGAAGGCUUUCGGGUCGUAAAACUCUGUUGUUAGGGAAGAACAAGUGCUAGUUGAAUAAGCUGGCACCUUGACGGUACCUAACCAGAGAGCCACGGCUAACUACGUGCCAGCAGCCGCGGUAA